GGGAGAGGGAGGACCACUAAGGGAAGGGAUGGAGGACCACUAAGGGAGAGAGGGGGGAGUGAGAAGACCACCAAGGGGGGACUGCAGAGGGACAGGGGGCCAAGGGAGAGCACUAAGGGACAGAAGGGGUAGAACACGGAGGGACAGGAGGGAAGGGGAAAUCAAUAAUUGACAGGAGGGGAGAGCACUAUGAAAUUUUUUUUACAAAAUAAAGAGCUGUUCCCCUCUCAGUCCCUAUCCUACCCCACAAACCCUCUCUUUUACACUACACACAAACACAAUGCAUUCCCCCCCCCACACACACACAGAAACAUACAAUGCAUUCCUACUCACACACAGACACACCCGAAACAGACCUUGAGCUGUGUAAGGGGCCCUAAAAAAUGGAGCUGCUUCCUGUUCGUUAAUUGUUGUGAGCACUGUUA
This is a non-coding RNA of Pelobates cultripes (western spadefoot toad), 425 nucleotides long. The record is from the annotation of a GenBank genome assembly. Lineage: Eukaryota; Metazoa; Chordata; Amphibia; Anura; Pelobatidae.